Camelus ferus (Wild Bactrian camel) is the source of this 72-nucleotide transfer RNA. It matches the Rfam family "tRNA". Rfam says of the family: Transfer RNA (tRNA) molecules are approximately 80 nucleotides in length. Their secondary structure includes four short double-helical elements and three loops (D, anti-codon, and T loops). NCBI's taxonomy places the organism in Eukaryota, Metazoa, Chordata, Mammalia, Artiodactyla, Camelidae. The record is from Rfam.
GGGGAUGUAGCUCGGUGGUAGAGCACAUGCUUAGCAUGCAGGGGGUCCUGGGUUCAAUCCCCAGUGCCUCCA